GAUGAACGCUGUCUACAGGCUUAACACAUGCAAGUCGAGGGGAAACGACGGGGAAGCUUGCUUCCCCGGGCGUCGACCGGCGCACGGGUGAGUAACGCGUAUCCAACCUGCCUCUGACUGAGGGAUAACCCGUCGAAAGUCGGCCUAAUACCUCAUGGCAUCGUCUGCGGGCAUCCAACGACGAUUAAAGAUUUCAUCGGUCAGGGAUGGGGAUGCGUCUGAUUAGCUUGUUGGCGGGGUAACGGCCCACCAAGGCUACGAUCAGUAGGGGUUCUGAGAGGAAGGUCCCCCACAUUGGAACUGAGACACGGUCCAAACUCCUACGGGAGGCAGCAGUGAGGAAUAUUGGUCAAUGGGCGGGAGCCUGAACCAGCCAAGUAGCGUGCAGGAUGACGGCCCUAGGGGUUGUAAACUGCUUUUAUGCGGGGAUAAAGUGAGGGACGUGUCCUUCAUUGCAGGUACCGAAUGAAUAAGGACCGGCUAAUUCCGUG
Molecule: ribosomal RNA, 491 nt
Filed under: uncultured bacterium
Lineage: Bacteria
Description: partial 16S ribosomal RNA
Rfam family: Bacterial small subunit ribosomal RNA
Source: RNAcentral